UGAUUAGAAGCUUGCUUCUAUGACGUUAGCGGCGGACGGGUGAGUAACACGUGGGCAACCUGCCUGUAAGACUGGGAUAACUCCGGGAAACCGGAGCUAAUACCGGAUAACAUUUUCUCUUGCAUAAGAGAAAAUUGAAAGAUGGUUUCGGCUAUCACUUACAGAUGGGCCCGCGGUGCAUUAGCUAGUUGGUGAGGUAACGGCUCACCAAGGCAACGAUGCAUAGCCGACCUGAGAGGGUGAUCGGCCACACUGGGACUGAGACACGGCCCAGACUCCUACGGGAGGCAGCAGUAGGGAAUCUUCCGCAAUGGACGAAAGUCUGACGGAGCAACGCCGCGUGAGUGAUGAAGGCUUUCGGGUCGUAAAACUCUGUUGUUAGGGAAGAACAAGUACAAGAGUAACUGCUUGUACCUUGACGGUACCUAACCAGAAAGCCACGGCUAACUACGUGCCAGCAGCCGCGGUAAUACGUAGGUGGCAAGCGUUAUCCGGAAUUAUUGGGCGUAAAGCGCGCGCAGGCGGUUUCUUAAGUCUGAUGUGAAAGCCCACGGCUCAACCGUGGAGGGUCAUUGGAAACUGGGGAACUUGAGUGCAGAAGAGAAAAGCGGAAUUCCACGUGUAGCGGUGAAAUGCGUAGAGAUGUGGAGGAACACCAGUGGCGAAGGCGGCUUUUUGGUCUGUAACUGACGCUGAGGCGCGAAAGCGUGGGGGAGCAAACAGGAUUAGAUACCCUGGUAGUCCACGCCGUAAACGAUGAGUGCUAAGUGUUAGAGGGUUUCCGCCCUUUAGUGCUGCAGCUAACGCAUUAAGCACUCCGCCUGGGGAGUACGGUCGCAAGA
Molecule: ribosomal RNA, 842 nt
Filed under: Priestia flexa
Lineage: Bacteria; Bacillati; Bacillota; Bacilli; Caryophanales; Bacillaceae
Description: bacterial SSU rRNA
Rfam family: Bacterial small subunit ribosomal RNA
Source: RNAcentral